CCGGCCAGCACCAGGCAUGGCACUCUGCUGUGCCUGUGGUAGGCCGAGAGGAAGUGGCUGUUUCUACACUCAGUGCCCCCACCCGUGGGCACUAAGAAUGGUUUAUAGCCUGACAUU
Molecule: small nucleolar RNA, 117 nt
Filed under: Echinops telfairi (small Madagascar hedgehog)
Lineage: Eukaryota; Metazoa; Chordata; Mammalia; Afrosoricida; Tenrecidae
Description: Small nucleolar RNA SNORA17 (ENSETEG00000023148.1)
Rfam family: Small nucleolar RNA SNORA43
About the family: ACA43 is a member of the H/ACA class of snoRNA that guide the sites of modification of uridines to pseudouridines.
Source: RNAcentral